Molecule: non-coding RNA, 81 nt
Submitted as: unclassified sequences
Source: Rfam
GAAACCUCAUCUUCGAUCUAUGCCAUACGGGUGUCGAUCAGUGCUUUUUAGCACGAGCGUCCGCUCGGAUGAGGAGAAGGU